RNAcentral lists this ribosomal RNA (2900 nucleotides) under Klebsiella pneumoniae. RNAcentral describes it as "23S ribosomal RNA". It matches the Rfam family "Bacterial large subunit ribosomal RNA". The record is from RNAcentral. Lineage: Bacteria; Pseudomonadati; Pseudomonadota; Gammaproteobacteria; Enterobacterales; Enterobacteriaceae.
UUAAGCGACUAAGCGUACACGGUGGAUGCCCUGGCAGUCAGAGGCGAUGAAGGACGUGCUAAUCUGCGAAAAGCGUCGGUAAGGUGAUAUGAACCGUUAUAGCCGGCGAUGUCCGAAUGGGGAAACCCAGUGCAAUUCGUUGCACUAUCGUUAACUGAAUACAUAGGUUAACGAGGCGAACCGGGGGAACUGAAACAUCUAAGUACCCCGAGGAAAAGAAAUCAACCGAGAUUCCCCCAGUAGCGGCGAGCGAACGGGGAGCAGCCCAGAGUCUGAAUCAGCUUGUGUGUUAGUGGAACGGUCUGGAAAGUCCGACGGUACAGGGUGAUAGUCCCGUACACCAAAAUGCACAGGCUGUGAACUCGAAGAGUAGGGCGGGACACGUGGUAUCCUGUCUGAAUAUGGGGGGACCAUCCUCCAAGGCUAAAUACUCCUGACUGACCGAUAGUGAACCAGUACCGUGAGGGAAAGGCGAAAAGAACCCCGGCGAGGGGAGUGAAAAAGAACCUGAAACCGUGUACGUACAAGCAGUGGGAGCACCUUCGGGUGUGACUGCGUACCUUUUGUAUAAUGGGUCAGCGACUUAUAUUCUGUAGCAAGGUUAACCGUAUAGGGGAGCCGCAGGGAAACCGAGUCUUAACUGGGCGUUAAGUUGCAGGGUAUAGACCCGAAACCCGGUGAUCUAGCCAUGGGCAGGUUGAAGGUUGGGUAACACUAACUGGAGGACCGAACUGACUAAUGUUGAAAAAUUAGCGGAUGACUUGUGGCUGGGGGUGAAAGGCCAAUCAAACCGGGAGAUAGCUGGUUCUCCCCGAAAGCUAUUUAGGUAGCGCCUCGUGAACUCAUCUUCGGGGGUAGAGCACUGUUUCGGCUAGGGGGUCAUCCCGACUUACCAACCCGAUGCAAACUACGAAUACCGAAGAAUGUUAUCACGGGAGACACACGGCGGGUGCUAACGUCCGUCGUGAAGAGGGAAACAACCCAGACCGCCAGCUAAGGUCCCAAAGUCAUGGUUAAGUGGGAAACGAUGUGGGAAGGCACAGACAGCCAGGAUGUUGGCUUAGAAGCAGCCAUCAUUUAAAGAAAGCGUAAUAGCUCACUGGUCGAGUCGGCCUGCGCGGAAGAUGUAACGGGGCUAAACCAUGCACCGAAGCUGCGGCAGCGACACUAUGUGUUGUUGGGUAGGGGAGCGUUCUGUAAGCCUGCGAAGGUGACCUGUGAGGGUUGCUGGAGGUAUCAGAAGUGCGAAUGCUGACAUAAGUAACGAUAAAGCGGGUGAAAAGCCCGCUCGCCGGAAGACCAAGGGUUCCUGUCCAACGUUAAUCGGGGCAGGGUGAGUCGACCCCUAAGGCGAGGCCGAAAGGCGUAGUCGAUGGGAAACAGGUUAAUAUUCCUGUACUUGGUGUUACUGCGAAGGGGGGACGGAGAAGGCUAUGUUAGCCGGGCGACGGUUGUCCCGGUUUAAGCAUGUAGGCUGGUUGUCCAGGCAAAUCCGGAUAAUCAAGGCUGAGGUGUGAUGACGAGGCACUACGGUGCUGAAGUAACAAAUGCCCUGCUUCCAGGAAAAGCCUCUAAGCAUCAGGUAACAUUAAAUCGUACCCCAAACCGACACAGGUGGUCAGGUAGAGAAUACCAAGGCGCUUGAGAGAACUCGGGUGAAGGAACUAGGCAAAAUGGUGCCGUAACUUCGGGAGAAGGCACGCUGGUGUGUAGGUGAAGUCCCUGCGGAUGGAGCUGAGACCAGUCGAAGAUACCAGCUGGCUGCAACUGUUUAUUAAAAACACAGCACUGUGCAAACACGAAAGUGGACGUAUACGGUGUGACGCCUGCCCGGUGCCGGAAGGUUAAUUGAUGGGGUUAUCCGUAAGGAGAAGCUCUUGAUCGAAGCCCCGGUAAACGGCGGCCGUAACUAUAACGGUCCUAAGGUAGCGAAAUUCCUUGUCGGGUAAGUUCCGACCUGCACGAAUGGCGUAAUGAUGGCCAGGCUGUCUCCACCCGAGACUCAGUGAAAUUGAACUCGCUGUGAAGAUGCAGUGUACCCGCGGCAAGACGGAAAGACCCCGUGAACCUUUACUAUAGCUUGACACUGAACAUUGAGCCUUGAUGUGUAGGAUAGGUGGGAGGCUUUGAAGCGUGGACGCCAGUCUGCGUGGAGCCAACCUUGAAAUACCACCCUUUAAUGUUUGAUGUUCUAACGUUGGCCCCUUACCGGGGUUGCGGACAGUGUCUGGUGGGUAGUUUGACUGGGGCGGUCUCCUCCUAAAGCGUAACGGAGGAGCACGAAGGUUAGCUAAUCCUGGUCGGACAUCAGGAGGUUAGUGCAAUGGCAUAAGCUAGCUUGACUGCGAGCGUGACGGCGCGAGCAGGUGCGAAAGCAGGUCAUAGUGAUCCGGUGGUUCUGAAUGGAAGGGCCAUCGCUCAACGGAUAAAAGGUACUCCGGGGAUAACAGGCUGAUACCGCCCAAGAGUUCAUAUCGACGGCGGUGUUUGGCACCUCGAUGUCGGCUCAUCACAUCCUGGGGCUGAAGUAGGUCCCAAGGGUAUGGCUGUUCGCCAUUUAAAGUGGUACGCGAGCUGGGUUUAGAACGUCGUGAGACAGUUCGGUCCCUAUCUGCCGUGGGCGCUGGAGAAUUGAGGGGGGCUGCUCCUAGUACGAGAGGACCGGAGUGGACGCAUCACUGGUGUUCGGGUUGUCAUGCCAAUGGCACUGCCCGGUAGCUAAAUGCGGAAGAGAUAAGUGCUGAAAGCAUCUAAGCACGAAACUUGCCCCGAGAUGAGUUCUCCCUGAGACUUUAAGUCUCCUGAAGGAACGUUGAAGACGACGACGUUGAUAGGCCGGGUGUGUAAGCGCAGCGAUGCGUUGAGCUAACCGGUACUAAUGAACCGUGAGGCUUAACCUU